CACACCGCCCGUCACACCAUGGGAGUGGGUUUCACCAGAAGCAGCUAGCCUAACCGCGAAGGGGGGCGGUUGCCACGGUGAGAUUCAUGACGUGGGGUGAAGUCGUAACAACGGUACC
RNAcentral lists this ribosomal RNA (118 nucleotides) under uncultured bacterium. Its description in RNAcentral is "partial 16S ribosomal RNA". It matches the Rfam family "Bacterial small subunit ribosomal RNA", at positions 1386 to 1500 of the family's 1533-position model. The record is from RNAcentral.